This 29-nucleotide non-coding RNA is filed under the name Homo sapiens (human). Lineage: Eukaryota; Metazoa; Chordata; Mammalia; Primates; Hominidae. The record is from RNAcentral.
UUUGGAGUGCUUUGAUGCCUAUGGUGGAA